Molecule: ribosomal RNA, 497 nt
Filed under: uncultured bacterium
Lineage: Bacteria
Description: partial 16S ribosomal RNA
Rfam family: Bacterial small subunit ribosomal RNA
Source: RNAcentral
GAUGAACGCUGGCGGCGUGCCUAAUACAUGCCAGUCGAGCGAACAGAUAAGGAGCUUGCUCCUUUGACGUUAGCGGCGGACGGGUGAGUAACACGUGGGUAACCUACCUAUAAGACUGGGAUAACUUCGGGAAACCGGAGCUAAUGCCGGAUAACAUUUGGAACCGCAUGGUUCUAAAGUGAAAGAUGGUUUUGCUAUCACUUAUAGAUGGACCCGCGCCGUAUUAGCUAGUUGGUAAGGUAACGGCUUACCAAGGCGACGAUACGUAGCCGACCUGAGAGGGUGAUCGGCCACACUGGAACUGAGACACGGUCCAGACUCCUACGGGAGGCAGCAGUAGGGAAUCUUCCGCAAUAGGCGAAAGCCUGACGGAGCAACGCCGCGUGAGUGAUGAAGGGUUUCGGCUCGUAAAACUCUGUUAUUAGGGAAGAACAAAUGUGUAAGUAACUGUGCACGUCUUGACGGUACCUAAUCAGAAAGCCACGGCUAACUACGUG